This 550-nucleotide ribosomal RNA is filed under the name Funneliformis mosseae. RNAcentral's name for it is "SSU rRNA". It matches the Rfam family "Eukaryotic small subunit ribosomal RNA", at positions 548 to 1098 of the family's 1831-position model. Lineage: Eukaryota; Fungi; Glomeromycota; Glomeromycetes; Glomerales; Glomeraceae. The record is from RNAcentral.
UUGGAGGGCAAGUCUGGUGCCAGCAGCCGCGGUAAUUCCAGCUCCAAUAGCGUAUAUUAAAGUUGUUGCAGUUAAAAAGCUCGUAGUUGAAUUUCGGGAUCAAUAUUUCGGUCAUGCCGUUGGUAUGCACUGUUAUCAUUGAUUUCUCACCUUCUAAAGAACCGUGAUGCCAUUAAUUUGGUGUUACGGGGAAUUAGGACUGUUACCUUGAAAAAAUUAGAGUGUUUAAAGCAGGCUCACGCUUGAAUACAUUAGCAUGGAAUAAUGAAAUAGGACAUCCGAUUCUAUUUUGUUGGUUUCCAGGAUCGAUGUAAUGAUUAAUAGGGAUAGUUGGGGGCAUUAGUAUUCAAUUGUCAGAGGUGAAAUUCUUGGAUUUAUUGAAGACUAACUACUGCGAAAGCAUUUGCCAAGGAUGUUUUCAUUAAUCAAGAACGAAAGUUAGGGGAUCGAAGACGAUCAGAUACCGUCGUAGUCUUAACCAUAAACUAUGCCGACUAGGGAUCGGAUGAUGUUAAUUUUUUAAUGACUCAUUCGGCGCCUUACGGGAAAC